Molecule: long non-coding RNA, 422 nt
Filed under: Daucus carota (carrot)
Lineage: Eukaryota; Viridiplantae; Streptophyta; Magnoliopsida; Apiales; Apiaceae
Description: long non-coding RNA (DCAR_LNC004436)
Source: RNAcentral
UGAAAAAUUGUAAAAAAGUUUUAUGGAGAAAGAAGAAUGUAUGAGACAAUAAUGACUAAAUAUGAGUGAGUCUAAAUAUUUCAUGACGAAGAUUGUAGGGAAAUAAUGAAUAAGUGGCAUGGAGCAUUUCUCAAAAACAUCUGGGUAGAUUUCUAGUUCAAAUAGUUUGGAAUGGAAUGAUUGAAGGAAUGAUAAAUUUUAGACAUUUUUUCUAGUCAUUUCCAAAUUAGAAUACAAAUUUCAUUCUAUUCNGACGAAGAUUAUAGGGAAAUAAUGAAUAAGUGGAAUGGAGCAUUUCUCAAAAACAUCUGGGUAGAUUUCUAGUUCAAAUAGUUUGGAAUGGAAUGAUUGAAGGAAUGAUAAAUUUUAGACAUUUUUUCUAGUCAUUUCCAAAUUAGAAUACAAAUUUCAUUCUAUUCUCU